Molecule: long non-coding RNA, 2129 nt
Filed under: Pandoravirus celtis
Description: hypothetical ncRNA
Source: RNAcentral
CCUGCCCCGGCCCCGACCGCCGCCCGGCGCAACGACGGCCUCGGGAGAUCGGCCAGUGGCGGGCCGACGGGCGGUACCGAUCGCGCGGCACGAAAGCCGUUGCGGUAAAAGUAGAGCACCUUGGGAUGGGCGCGCACGGCGCGCGGGUCAAAGUCGUCGAGCGAGAGGCCGUCGAGUGAGCGGAUGCGCGACAGCGCCACGUAGGCCUGGCCACAGUCAAAGAUGCCGCUCAUCGAAAUGACGGCCCGGUCCAGCGACAUGCCCUGACACUUGUGGAUGGUCAUGGCCCACGCCAGCAGCAGGGGCACCUGCCAAUAGUUGACGGUGCCCACGCCGGGCUCGGUGAUGGACCACUUGUGCGGCACGAUCCGGGUCUCGAUGCCGCAGGCAAAGGCCACCACGGGGUAGCGCCCCGUCGUCGCCCGGCUGCGGUUCGAGCAGCGUCGGAGCCACCGGCCUCUGACGUACGGCGCCAUCCGUUUGUCGGCGCCAUUGUCCUCAUUGUCAUCGCAUUCCGCGGCGGCAUCAGCCGCGGCCCUUGCGCGCUCCUGUUCCUCGACCGCCGUGGCAAAGCGGCGCACGACACCGCGCGCCCCGUUGACCAGGCCGCGCUCGACAUCCAGAUUGGCCAGCAGGACCACCUGCGCACCCACCUUGAGGUGGACAUAGGGUGCGGCGGGCGCAUUCUUUUCAAGCACUGCCCGGUGGGCGUUGAGCGUGGCCUCGAUCUUGGGCGUCAUCUUGACGCCCUCGUCGAGGCGCCACGGGCACUUGGAGGCAAAGGUCUCGGACUCGCCGGUGAGGCCGUCCAGCCGCGCGGCGUUGAUGGCGGCCACCUGGGCGACGAGCGGGCACAGACGUGUGGGCUCCACGCCGUCGUCGGUGGCGAGCGCGGCGCCGACGCGCGCCGCAAACAGGGCCUCGUCCUCGGGCGUCUGCUCGGCAAACGCAUGCGGUUGAGCGCGCCCACGAGCGUGUCGUCCUUUUGGCGAAAGACCGUGCGUAGGUCGACCACCUGGAGGGCGAGCGCGCGGUCGGUCCACAGCGGCAGUUCAAAGCAAAACUGCGGGCGCUCGGCGCCGCCCGGUGCCGGCGUCCGAUCGACGAUGGCCGGCAGUUGGGCAAAGUCGCCCACGAGUAUGACCUGGAUGCCGCCAAAGGCGCGGUCCAUGCGGCCGCGCAUCCACCGCGCCAGUUGGUCGCACUUGUGAAAGAACUCGGCGUCGACCAUCGAGAUCUCGUCGACCACGAGCACGUCCAUGGCGCGCCACCGGGCCACAACCUUGGGUCGCGUGCCCAGAGCCGCCUGCAGGGCGGGCAGCGGCUCGGCGCCGAGGCCGCAGCCGAGCACGCGGUGAAGCGUGGUGCCGCCCACGUUGACGGCGGCCAUGCCCGUGCUGCCGGUCACCUGCACGGUCUUGCCCUGGGCGCGCUUGGCGGCAAUGAUGUAGCGCAGGAGAAAGGACUUGCCGGCGCCGCCGCUGCCCGACAGCAACAGAUUGUGGCCGGCCUCGGCCAGCCGUGCGGCAUGCGCCUGCGCCGGCGACCAGCGCACGUCGCGAAAGGUCCCUAGGUCGCUGCCCUCGUCGUCGCCUGCCAUUCUCCUUCUCCCAAGGGUGGGGUGCGAUAGAAAAGUCCUCUUUUCUUGUCUCUGUUCCGUCCGUCGAACCGGUCUUGCAAUUCAACAAGAAGAUUGGACGGUGGCGGCGAGUUGGGUUUUUCUGGCGGUGGCCGGCACUGGACAGAGAGACCCCCCUUUUGUGGUUCUUUUUUUCCGAAUGUGUGUCUCGAUGGCAAGAGACACAAGACGCAUGGGACCCCCAUAUAUGGCCGGCAUGCCGCCUCUUUUUCCCCCGGUCUGCGGGUGCGCGUUGCGACCUGCGCCGCCGGUCGACCGGGCCUGCCUUUUUUUCUUUGCCAACACCGCCUCUGUCUUUUUUUUGCCAGCGAGAAUAGGAUUUCAUUGGUUGCAUGAGAAAACCCCGCGGGCGCAAAAGAAAUACAAAGGCGAAAUGACGCAAAAGUCGCCGCCGCCGCCGCUGCUCAAUGUCGUCGCGAUGCAUUUGCCGCAGGCACGGCCUUUUUGUCGGUCCGCCCUUUUUUUGCAAAGCGAACCCAGAACCCCUGAG